RNAcentral lists this ribosomal RNA (253 nucleotides) under uncultured bacterium. RNAcentral's name for it is "partial 16S ribosomal RNA". It matches the Rfam family "Bacterial small subunit ribosomal RNA", at positions 524 to 776 of the family's 1533-position model. The record is from RNAcentral.
UACGUAGGGUGCGAGCGUUAAUCGGAAUUACUGGGCGUAAAGCGUGCGCAGGCGGUUUUGCGUGUCCGAUGUGAAAGCCCCGGGCUUAACCUGGGAAUGGCAUUGGAAACUGGCUGGCUGGAGUGUGGCAGAGGGGGGUGGAAUUCCACGUGUAGCAGUGAAAUGCGUAGAGAUGCGGAGGAACACCGAUGGCGAAGGCAGCCCCCUGGGCUGACACUGACGCUCAGGCACGAAAGCGUGGGGAGCAAACAGG